GAUGAACGCUGGCGGCGUGCCUAAUACAUGCAAGUCGAGCGAACGGACGAGAAGCUUGCUCUUCUGAUGUUAUCGGCGGACGGGUGAGUAACACGUGGAUAACCUACCUAUAAGACUGGGAUAACUUCGGGAAACCGGAGCUAAUACCGGAUAAUAUUUUGAACCGCAUGGUUCAAAAGUGAAAGACGGUCUUGCUGUCACUUAUAGAUGGAUCCGCGCUGCAUUAGCUAGUUGGUAAGGUAACGGCUUACCAAGGCAACGAUGCAUAGCCGACCUGAGAGGGUGAUCGGCCACCCUGGAACAGAGACACGGCCCAGACUCCUACGGGAGGCAGCAGUAGGGAAUCUUCCGCAAUGGGCGAAAGCCUGACGGAGCAACGCCGCGUGAGUGAUGAAGGUCUUCGGAUCGUAAAACUCUGUUAUUAGGGAAGAACAAAUGUGUAAGUAACUGUGCACAUCUUGACGGUACCUAAUCAGAAAGCCACGGCUAACUACGUG
RNAcentral lists this ribosomal RNA (497 nucleotides) under uncultured bacterium. RNAcentral's name for it is "partial 16S ribosomal RNA". It matches the Rfam family "Bacterial small subunit ribosomal RNA", at positions 28 to 507 of the family's 1533-position model. The record is from RNAcentral.